This 609-nucleotide long non-coding RNA is filed under the name Ananas comosus (pineapple). RNAcentral describes it as "long non-coding RNA (ACOM_LNC023066)". The record is from RNAcentral. Lineage: Eukaryota; Viridiplantae; Streptophyta; Magnoliopsida; Poales; Bromeliaceae.
AACACAGAACAGAAGUAUUAAGCAUAAAAUGUUGAGAGUUCGGCUGGGAUACUAUCGAUAACAUGAAACAUUUGGUGCUAUUAAGUUUUCUGCCGUUAGAUUUAUCUUUUUUAUCAUUUUCAUCCGUUCGAUUAUACUAUUUAACCAACCACACACUCAACCCUAGAGAGUCCACAUCAUCCUAACCGCACAUCUUUUAAUCCAAGGGCAGAAAAUUUAAUAGUACCAAGUCAUUAAUGCUAUUAAUAGUAUUCCAGCUUAGUUCAAAUGUUGAAGUAUCAUACUAAUUAAGCUUAAGUAUUACGACGAGCGCACAAACAAGAACGAGAGAUGACGAUCGUGAAGUAGACAAACCACAUAACAGUAUAAAAAGAACACAAAAAUUUACAUGAAAAAUUCUUUGCAGAGAAAAAACCACAGGCGAUGGUGGAAAAAACUUCAUAAUAAGGAAAUACAGUACGCUAUAUCGUGUCUAGGGCAAAAAUAAAAAGAAAAUUUCUUAACGGAUUUCUUUAUUAUCGGCCCGAGUUCUCUGCUACCUAUUACAGACAUCUAUUUUUUUCUUCUUAAAUUCUUUUUCAAAUUUGUCCUACCAUGAAACUAUCGACG